GCUCGUAUGGCCUAAUCGGACAGGGCAUCCGCCUACGAAGCGGGGGGUUGCAGGUUCAAGUCCUGCUUCGAGUG
RNAcentral lists this transfer RNA (74 nucleotides) under Tribonema minus. It matches the Rfam family "tRNA". Rfam says of the family: Transfer RNA (tRNA) molecules are approximately 80 nucleotides in length. Their secondary structure includes four short double-helical elements and three loops (D, anti-codon, and T loops). Further hydrogen bonds mediate the characteristic L-shaped molecular structure. tRNAs have two regions of fundamental functional importance: the anti-codon, which is responsible for specific mRNA codon recognition, and the 3' end, to which the tRNAs corresponding amino acid is attached (by aminoacyl-tRNA synthetases). tRNAs cope with the degeneracy of the genetic code in two manners: having more than one tRNA (with a specific anti-codon) for a particular amino acid; and 'wobble' base-pairing, i.e. permitting non-standard base-pairing at the 3rd anti-codon position. The record is from Rfam by way of RNAcentral. Lineage: Eukaryota; Xanthophyceae; Tribonematales; Tribonemataceae.